CUUUCAACAACGGAUCUCUUGGUUCUGGCAUCGAUGAAGAACGCAGCGAAAUGCGAUAAGUAGUGUGAAUUGCAGAAUUCAGUGAAUCAUCGAAUCUUUGAACGCACAUUGCGCCCUUUGGUAUUCCAAAGGGCAUGCCUGUUCGAGCGU
This 150-nucleotide ribosomal RNA is filed under the name Alternaria multirostrata. RNAcentral describes it as "5.8S ribosomal RNA". It matches the Rfam family "5.8S ribosomal RNA". Rfam says of the family: 5.8S ribosomal RNA (5.8S rRNA) is a component of the large subunit of the eukaryotic ribosome. It is transcribed by RNA polymerase I as part of the 45S precursor that also contains 18S and 28S rRNA. Lineage: Eukaryota; Fungi; Ascomycota; Dothideomycetes; Pleosporales; Pleosporaceae. The record is from RNAcentral.